GUACACGCUGUGACUAGCAUAUCAAUAAGCGGAGGAAAAGAAACUAACAAGGAUUCCCCUAGUAACGGCGAGCUGAAGCGGGAAGAGCUCAAAUUUGAAAUCUUAAAGGGUUUCCCUUUACGAAUUGUAGUUUAAAGAAGUGUUUUCUGUUGAGGUUUUGGUAAAAGUUCUUUGGAAUAGGACAUCAUAGAGGGUGAGAAUCCCGUAUUUGACCUUUACUUUCAACUUUGUGAUACACUUUCAAAGAGUCGGAUUGUUUGGGAAUGCAGUCCAAAAUGGGUGGUAAAUUUCAUCUAAAGCUAAAUAUUGGCGAGAGACCGAUAGCGAACAAGUACCGUGAGGGAAAGAUGAAAAGAACUUUGAAAAGAGAGUUAAACAGUACGUGAAAUUGUCAAAAGGGAAGCGUUUGACACCAGUAGUUGUUUUUCUGAAAAUCAAUUAAAGAACUGUUUAUGCUAAGCUGUUUAGACUUUAUCAGCUAUCUGUUUAGUUUUGAGCUUUUCUUUAAUGCACUUUUCAGUUAACAAGUCAACAUCAAUUUCUUUUGCUGUAAAAAAGCUUGAGGAAGGUGGCUUGAGAUUCGUCUUAAGUGUUUAUAGCCUCUUGCCUAUGCAGUCGGAGAGAUUGAGGUCUGCAGCGUAGAUCCUUCGGGGCUAAAUGCAUUUGUGCUAAGUUAUAGCAUUUUAUAGACAACUUGUUGACUAUGAUUUGUCUUGUAGCUUACUCGCUUAUGUUAUUUUACCUACGCUUAGGAUGUUGAAGAUGUAGCACAUCAU
RNAcentral lists this ribosomal RNA (776 nucleotides) under uncultured Neocallimastigales. Its description in RNAcentral is "partial large subunit ribosomal RNA". It matches the Rfam family "Eukaryotic large subunit ribosomal RNA", at positions 22 to 643 of the family's 3401-position model. Lineage: Eukaryota; Fungi; Neocallimastigomycota; Neocallimastigomycetes; Neocallimastigales. The record is from RNAcentral.